AAGAUCCAGAAUGGCUUGUUGUGGUUGGCGUCUGCACGCAUCUUGGUUGCAUUCCCUUGCCCAAUGCUGGUGAUUUUGGUGGGUGGUUCUGUCCGUGCCAUGGUUCCCACUACGAUGUGUCCGGUAGGAUCCGUAAAGGACCAGCACCCUACAAUUUGGAGGUACCUACUUACACCUUUUUGGAAGAUAACAAGCUUUUGAUUGGUUAAGAUGAGAAGAAGAAAUGAAGCUCUUUUUUCAGGGUUUGUGUAGUAGUGAUUUUGAAACCUUCAUCAAAUGAUAAUGUCGAAGAUUUAUUGCAGACAUAAUUUUAUUAUUUUAUUU
Molecule: long non-coding RNA, 324 nt
Filed under: Cucumis sativus (cucumber)
Lineage: Eukaryota; Viridiplantae; Streptophyta; Magnoliopsida; Cucurbitales; Cucurbitaceae
Description: long non-coding RNA (CSAT_LNC001999)
Source: RNAcentral